This 409-nucleotide ribosomal RNA is filed under the name Fusobacteriota bacterium. Its description in RNAcentral is "Fusobacteria bacterium partial 16S ribosomal RNA". It matches the Rfam family "Bacterial small subunit ribosomal RNA", at positions 355 to 776 of the family's 1533-position model. Lineage: Bacteria; Fusobacteriati; Fusobacteriota. The record is from RNAcentral.
UGGGGAAUAUUGCACAAUGGAGGGAACUCUGAUGCAGCAACGCCGCGUGCGGGAUGACGGCCUUCGGGUUGUAAACCGCUUUCAGCCAUGACGAAGCUUCUGUGACGGUAGUGGUAGAAGAAGCACCGGCUAACUACGUGCCAGCAGCCGCGGUGAUACGUAGGGUGCGAGCGUUGUCCGGAAUUAUUGGGCGUAAAGAGCUUGUAGGCGGUUUGUCGCGUCGAUAGUGUAAACACGCAGCUUAACUGUGUGCCUGCUGUCGAUACGGGCGGUCUAGAGGGGGGUAGGGGAGAAUGGAAUUCCCGGUGGAGCGGUGGAAUGCGCAGAUAUCGGGAGGAACACCAGUGGCGAAGGCGGUUCUCUGGACCUUACCUGACGCUGAGAAGCGAAAGCGUGAGUAGCAAGCAGG